Molecule: long non-coding RNA, 8264 nt
Organism: Oncorhynchus keta (chum salmon)
Lineage: Eukaryota; Metazoa; Chordata; Actinopteri; Salmoniformes; Salmonidae
Exons: 2
Source: RefSeq, a predicted model, not a curated record
UGAUUCAUAUAACUGAUUCAGUCAUAAUGGCAGCAAACUGAUUCAUAUAACUGAUUCAGUCAUUAUGGCAGCAAACUGAUUCAUAUAACUGAUUCAGUCAUAAUGGCAGCAAACUGAUUCAUAUAACUGAUUCAGUCAUAAUGGCAGCAAACUGAUUCAUAUAACUGAUUCAGUCAUAAUGGCAGCAAACUGAUUCAUAUAACUGAUUCAGUCAUUAUGGCAGCAAACUGAUUCAUAUAACUGAUUCAGUCAUUAUGGCAGCAAACUGAUUCAUAUAACUGAUUCAGUCAUGGUGGCAGCAAACUGAUUCAUAUAACUGAUUCAGUCAUGAUGGCAGCAAACUGAUUCAUAUAACUGAUUCAGUCAUGAUAGCAGCAAACUGAUUCAUAUAACUGAUUCAGUCAUGAUGGCAGCAAACUGAUUCAUAUAACUGAUUCAGUCAUAAUGGCAGCAAACUGAUUCAUAUAACUGAUUCAGUCAUUAUGGCAGCAAACUGAUUCAUAUAACUGAUUAAGUCAUAAUGGCAGCAAACUGAUUCAUAUAACUGAUUCAGUCAUGAUGGCAGCAAACUGAUUCAUAUAACUGAUUCAGUCAUAAUGGCAGCAAACUGAUUCAUAUAACUGAUUCAGUCAUUAUGGCAGCAAACUGAUUCAUAUAACUGAUUAAGUCAUAAUGGCAGCAAACUGAUUCAUAUAACUGAUUCAGUCAUGAUGGCAGCAAACUGAUUCAUAUAACUGAUUCAGUCAUAAUGGCAGCAAACUGAUUCAUAUAACUGAUUCAGUCAUGAUGGCAGCAAACUGAUUCAUAUAACUGAUUCAGUCAUGAUGGCAGCAAACUGAUUCAUAUAACUGAUUCAGUCAUUAUGGCAGCAAACUGAUUCAUAUAACUGAUUCAGUCAUAAUGGCAGCAAACUGAUUCAUAUAACUGAUUCAGUCAUAAUGGCAGCAAACUGAUUCAUAUAACUGAUUCAGUCAUAAUGGCAGCAAACUGAUUCAUAUAACUGAUUCAUAUAACUGAUUCAGUCAUAAUGGCAGCAAACUGAUUCAUAUAACUGAUUCAUAUAACUGAUUCAGUCAUAAUGGCAGCAAACUGAUUCAUAUAACUGAUUCAGUCAUAAUGGCAGCAAACUGAUUCAUAUAACUGAUUCAGUCAUAAUGGCAGCAAACUGAUUCAUAUAACUGAUUCAGUCAUAAUGGCAGCAAACUGAUUCAUAUAACUGAUUCAGUCAUUAUGGCAGCAAACUGAUUCAUAUAACUGAUUCAGUCAUAAUGGCAGCAAACUGAUUCAUAUAACUGAUUCAGUCAUUAUGGCAGCAAACUGAUUCAUAUAACUGAUUCAGUCAUAAUGGCAGCAAACUGAUUCAUAUAACUGAUUCAGUCAUAAUGGCAGCAAACUGAUUCAUAUAACUGAUUCAGUCAUAAUGGCAGCAAACUGAUUCAUAUAACUGAUUCAGUCAUUAUGGCAGCAAACUGAUUCAUAUAACUGAUUCAGUCAUAAUGGCAGCAAACUGAUUCAUAUAACUGAUUCAGUCAUAAUGGCAGCAAACUGAUUCAUAUAACUGAUUCAGUCAUAAUGGCAGCAAACUGAUUCAUAUAACUGAUUCAGUCAUUAUGGCGGCAAACUGAUUCAUAUAACUGAUUCAGUCAUAAUGGCAGCAAACUGAUUCAUAUAACUGAUUCAGUCAUAAUGGCAGCAAACUGAUUCAUAUAACUGAUUCAGUCAUAAUGGCAGCAAACUGAUUCAUAUAACUGAUUCAGUCAUUAUGGCAGCAAACUGAUUCAUAUAACUGAUUCAGUCAUAAUGGCAGCAAACUGAUUCAUAUAACUGAUUCAGUCAUAAUGGCGGCAAACUGAUUCAUAUAACUGAUUCAGUCAUAAUGGCAGCAAACUGAUUCAUAUAACUGAUUCAGUCAUGAUGGCAGCAAACUGAUUCAUAUAACUGAUUCAGUCAUGAUGGCAGCAAACUGAUUCAUAUAACUGAUUCAGUCAUGAUGGCAGCAAACUGAUUCAUAUAACUGAUUCAGUCAUAAUGGCAGCAAACUGAUUCAUAUAACUGAUUCAGUCAUAAUGGCAGCAAACUGAUUCAUAUAACUGAUUCAGUCAUUAUGGCAGCAAACUGAUUCAUAUAACUGAUUCAGUCAUGAUGGCAGCAAACUGAUUCAUAUAACUGAUUCAGUCAUGAUGGCAGCAAACUGAUUCAUAUAACUGAUUCAGUCAUGAUGGCAGCAAACUGAUUCAUAUAACUGAUUCAGUCAUAAUGGCAGCAAACUGAUUCAUAUAACUGAUUCAGUCAUAAUGGCAGCAAACUGAUUCAUAUAACUGAUUCAGUCAUAAUGGCAGCAAACUGAUUCAUAUAACUGAUUCAGUCAUUAUGGCAGCAAACUGAUUCAUAUAACUGAUUCAGUCAUGAUGGCAGCAAACUGAUUCAUAUAACUGAUUCAGUCAUAAUGGCAGCAAACUGAUUCAUAUAACUGAUUCAGUCAUUAUGGCAGCAAACUGAUUCAUAUAACUGAUUAAGUCAUAAUGGCAGCAAACUGAUUCAUAUAACUGAUUCAGUCAUAAUGGCAGCAAACUGAUUCAUAUAACUGAUUCAGUCAUUAUGGCAGCAAACUGAUUCAUAUAACUGAUUAAGUCAUAAUGGCAGCAAACUGAUUCAUAUAACUGAUUCAGUCAUUAUGGCAGCAAACUGAUUCAUAUAACUGAUUAAGUCAUAAUGGCAGCAAACUGAUUCAUAUAACUGAUUCAGUCAUGAUGGCAGCAAACUGAUUCAUAUAACUGAUUCAGUCAUUAUGGCAGCAAACUGAUUCAUAUAACUGAUUAAGUCAUAAUGGCAGCAAACUGAUUCAUAUAACUGAUUCAGUCAUGAUGGCAGCAAACUGAUUCAUAUAACUGAUUCAUAUAACUGAUUCAUAUAACUGAUUCAGUCAUUAUGGCAGCAAACUGAAGCAUAUCAACAUAUCACCUUUCCCACAGUAAAGUAUGAAUUAUCCAUCAUGCAGAAUUUGUACGACCUUUGAUCUUACAAAGGUGGGUUACUGUCAAAUGUAUUAAUUAUAGGCUACUUUCUCUCGUUUCCUAUUUCUAUCGUGUUAAAUAUUAGCCACUCUCCGUAUCUUUCUUCUGUGCAAAAAAACUACGUAAAACGUUUUUUAAAUAGUUUAAAAAAAAAGUUUUUAUGAUUCAUAAAUACUUUCCUAAAUCAGAAUAUUUUUUAAUCGUAACAAAUUGGUACCGCGAAGGAGAUGAAUAUGCAGAUAUACUAUGUCGAUAGUUCUUUCAUUGAGCCCAAAUAUUCUGAGCCUUGAACAUUGAAUGGAAAAAACUCCCAAGAGAAAAUCUUUUGGCCAGAAAGUGGGGUGAAUUUUCAGCUUUUGAAUUAAAUGUAUUCAGCCCUCGGAAGGGAGCCACGCCUCCAAAACACCUGUUACACACCUGCAGUCAGGUAAGACUGAAUACCAACUACUCACAAGUGCAUAGGGAAGGUGUAAUGUCCAAAGUUGGAACGCGGCCCAGAGAGCAGGGUUGGUUGGCCCAACCCUCUCCUUUUGGCCCAACUCUCUCCUUUUGGCCCCACCCUCUCCUUUUGGCCCAACCCUCUCCUUUUGGCCCCACCCUCUCCUUUUGGCCCCACCCUCUCCUUUUGGCCCCACCCUCUCCUUUUGGCCCCACCCUCUCCUUUUGGCCCAACCCUCUCCUUUUGGCCCCACCCUCUCCUUUUGGCCCCACCCUCUCCUUUUGGCCCCACCCUCUCCUUUUGGCCCCACCCUCUCCUUUUGGCCCCACCCUCUCCUUUUGGCCCAAACCUCUCCUUUUGGCCCAACCCUCUCCUUUUGGCCCAACCCUCUCCUUUUGGCCCCACCCUCUCCUUUUGGCCCCACCCUCUCCUUUUGGCCCAACCGAAACAGUGAAGUAAUUAUGGUUCAACUGUAAAAUUGUGUCAACAAUAGCUAUGUUUAGCUAAUCGGGAGAAUUGUUAUUGUGUGUGGGGGGGAUGUCUCGUGGUCGUUGGACGUGAAGAGGAAGUCACUUUAGACUAUUUAGAUGUACCCUCGUGUCUCAUCCGCCAAUCAGGUCAAUCAAUCUGUGCCACUUACCAUGGGCAGAUGUCUCGAAGGUUUGUACCGAUGCUGUUCUUCGGGCCACGUUCCAGGCUGAUUACAUCACAGAAGAUCCAGCAGAAGAAGAAGCCAAGAAGCCAGAGCUAAAUGUGUAAUAGCGUAUCAGCGAAUCAGAUGCCCGACAGGAAACCAUGAUAUGACCAAUGUACGGUAUAUAAAGAUUUUCUAGCAUCAUAAAUUGCAACCGCAGACAGGACAGGUAAAACACGAAUCCCUCAGUUUGCUCCAGUGGGUUGCAGCUGGUGUGACCUCCGCUGUCUUGGGUAAGUAGAUAACUAUAUAAAGACACUCCAACAUGCUGCAUCACCCUUCACCCACAAACACAUGUUCUUUACAGGUACAGGUGCUGUGUACAUUAAUAACUACCCAGUGAAGGUGUACAUUAAAAACUGUCCCAGUGAAGGUGUACAUUAAUAACUGUCCCAGUGAAGGUGUACAUUAAUAACUGUCCCAGUGAAGGUGUACAUUAAUAACUAGCCAGUGAAGGUGUACAUUAAUAACUGUCCCAGUGAAGGUGUACAUUAAUAACUACCCAGUGAAGGUGUACAUUAAUAACUGUCCCAGUGAAGGUGUACAUUAAUAACUGUCCCAGUGAAGGUGUACAUUAAUAACUACCCAGUGAAGGUGUACAUUAAUAACUACCCAGUGAAGGUGUACAUUAAUAACUGUCCCAGUGAAGGUGUACAUUAAUAACUACCCAGUGAAGGUGUACAUUAAUAACUACCCAGUGAAGGUGUACAUUAAUAACUACCCAGUGAAGGUGUACAUUAAUAACUGUCCCAGUGAAGGUGUACAUUAAUAACUGUCCCAGUGAAGGUGUACAUUAAUAACUGUCCCAGUGAAGGUGUACAUUAAUAACUGUCCCAGUGAAGGUGUACAUUAAUAACUACCCAGUGAAGGUGUACAUUAAUAACUGUCCCAGUGAAGGUGUACAUUAAUAACUACCCAGUGAAGGUGUACAUUAAUAACUACCCAGUGAAGGUGUACAUUAAUAACUACCCAGUGAAGGUGUACAUUAAUAACUGUCCCAGUGAAGGUGUACAUUAAUAACUACCCAGUGAAGGUGUACAUUAAUAACUGUCCCAGUGAAGGUGUACAUUAAUAACUACCCAGUGAAGGUGUACAUUAAUAACUACCCAGUGAAGGUGUACAUUAAUAACUACCCAGUGAAGGUGUACAUUAAUAACUGUCCCAGUGAAGGUGUACAUUAAUAACUACCCAGUGAAGGUGUACAUUAAUAACUACCCAGUGAAGGUGUAUAUUAAUAACUACCCAGUGAAGGUGUACAUUAAUAACUACCCAGUGAAGGUGUACAUUAAUAACUGUCCCAGUGAAGGUGUACAUUAAUAACUACCCAGUGAAGGUGUACAUUAAUAACUGUCCCAGUGAAGGUGUACAUUAAUAACUGUCCCAGUGAAGGUGUACAUUAAUAACUACCCAGUGAAGGUGUACAUUAAUAACUACCCAGUGAAGGUGUACAUUAAUAACUGUCCCAGUGAAGGUGUACAUUAAUAACUACCCAGUGAAGGUGUACAUUAAUAACUACCCAGUGAAGGUGUACAUUAAUAACUACCCAGUGAAGGUGUACAUUAAUAACUACCCAGUGAAGGUGUACAUUAAUAACUACCCAGUGAAGGUGUACAUUAAUAACUACCCAGUGAAGGUGUACAUUAAUAACUACCCAGUGAAGGUGUACAUUAAUAACUACCCAGUGAAGGUGUACAUUAAUAACUGUCCCAGUGAAGGAGUACAUUAAUAACUACCCAGUGAAGGUGUACAUUAAUAACUGUCCCAGUGAAGGUGUACAUUAAUAACUACCCAGUGAAGGUGUACAUUAAUAACUACCCAGUGAAGGUGUAUAUUAAUAACUACCCAGUGAAGGUGUACAUUAAUAACUACCCAGUGAAGGUGUACAUUAAUAACUGUCCCAGUGAAGGUGUACAUUAAUAACUACCCAGUGAAGGUGUACAUUAAUAACUGUCCCAGUGAAGGUGUACAUUAAUAACUGUCCCAGUGAAGGUGUACAUUAAUAACUACCCAGUGAAGGUGUACAUUAAUAACUACCCAGUGAAGGUGUACAUUAAUAACUGUCCCAGUGAAGGUGUACAUUAAUAACUACCCAGUGAAGGUGUACAUUAAUAACUACCCAGUGAAGGUGUACAUUAAUAACUACCCAGUGAAGGUGUACAUUAAUAACUGUCCCAGUGAAGGUUCUGUGUACAUUAAUAACUGUCCCAGUGAAGGUGUACAUUAAUAACUGUCCCAGUGAAGGUGUACAUUAAUAACUACCCAGUGAAGGUGUACAUUAAUAACUACCCAGUGAAGGUGUACAUUAAUAACUACCCAGUGAAGGUGUACAUUAAUAACUACCCAGUGAAGGUGUACAUUAAUAACUACCCAGUGAAGGUGUACAUUAAUAACUACCCAGUGAAGGUGUACAUUAAUAACUGUCCCAGUGAAGGAGUACAUUAAUAACUACCCAGUGAAGGUGUACAUUAAUAACUGUCCCAGUGAAGGUGUACAUUAAUAACUACCCAGUGAAGGUGUACAUUAAUAACUACCCAGUGAAGGUGUACAUUAAUAACUACCCAGUGAAGGUGUACAUUAAUAACUACCCAGUGAAGGUGUACAUUAAUAACUGUCCCAGUGAAGGUGUACAUUAAUAACUACUCAGUGUAGGUGUACAUUAAUAACGUCCCUAAAAUCACUUACCAAAAUCACAUUCCAAAUCACUUACCAAAAUCACAUUCUAAAAAUCACUUACCAAAAUCACAUUCUAAAAAUCACUUACCAAAAUCACAUUCUAAAAUCACAUUCCAAAAUCACUUACCAAAAUCACAUUCUAAAAUCACAUUCUAAAAUCACAUUCUAAAAUCACUUACCAAAAUCACAUUCUAAAAUCACAUUCUAAAAUCACUUACCAAAAUCACAUUCUAAAAUCACUUACCAAAAUCACAUUCCAAAAUCACAUUCUAAAAUCACAUUCUAAAAUCACUUACCAAAAUCACAUUCUAAAAUCACUUACCAAAAUCACAUUCUAAAAUCACUUACCAAAAUCACAUUCUAAAAUCACUUACCAAAAUCACAUUCUAAAAUCACAUUCUAAAAUCACUUACCAAAAUCACAUUCUAAAAUCACAUUCUAAAAUCACUUACCAAAAUCACAUUCUAAAAUCACAUUCUAAAAUCACUUACCAAAAUCACAUUCUAAAAUCACAUUCUAAAAUCACAUUCUAAAAUCACUUACCAAAAUCACAUUCUAAAAUCACUUACCAAAAUCACAUUCUAAAAUCACUUACCAAAAUCACAUUCUAAAAUCACUUACCAAAAUCACAUUCUAAAAUCACAUUCUAAAAUCACUUACCAAAAUCACAUUCUAAAAUCACAUUCUAAAAUCACAUUCUAAAAUCACUUGCCCAAAUCACAUUCUAAAAUCACAUUCUAAAAUCACUUACCAAAAUCACAUUCUAAAAUCACAUUCUAAAAUAAAUCACUUACCAAAAUCACAUUCUAAAAUCACAUUCUAAAAUCACAUUCUAAAAUCACUUACCAAAAUCAAAUAAACUGAAAAAAAAUGUGUCGGCGGUAAUAAAAUGGGACAUAAAAACGUUGCUGUAGACUGGAAAACGAAACAACUAAAGUAGGUUAAGAUGAUUUAGAGGGGGGAAUAAGAACCAUCAGAUCAAAUCUGAUUGCCUUGGUCGCGAACACAGAUAUCUGACAUGUGUAUGUUAUUGGGGGUGUAGUGAAAUGCUUGGCCACUAGAUGGAGGCAUAGCUCAAGUAUUGGGCCAUUGACUCUCCUGUUGGCUGAUUCGAGAGAGGGAGAGAGAGAGAGAGAGACCACAAAUACAAAUUCCAUCUAGACACCGUUGCCCUAGAGCACACACAAUACUAUACGUGCCUCGGCCUUAACAUCAGCGCCACACGUAACUUCCACAAAGCUGUGAACGAUCUGAGAGACUCUUCCCUGCCACUUCCACUCUAUUUGCACAUAAUAGGACAUUUCAAAUGUCUGUAUUCUUUUGGAACUGUUGUGAGUGUAAUGUUUACUGUUCAUUUUUGUUUAUUAUCUAGUUCACUUGCUUAGGCAAUGUUAACACAUGUUUCCCAUGCCAAUAAAGCCCCUUGAAUUGAAUUGAACUGAGA